CUGUGUCCAUGUGUUCUCAUUGUUCAAUUCCCACCUAUGAGUGAGAAUAUGUGGUGUUUGGUUUUUUGUCCUUGCGAUAGUUUACUGGGAAUGAUGAUUUCCAAUUUCAUCCAUGUCCCUACAAAGGACAUGAACUCCUCAUUUUUUACGGCUGCAUAGUAUUCCAUGGUGUAUAUGUGCCAUAUUUUCUUCAUCCAGUCUAUCAUUGUUGGACAUUUGGGUUGGUUCCAAGUCUUUGCUAUUGUGAAUAAUGCCGCAAUAAACAUACGUGUGCAUGUGUCUUUAUAGCAGCAUGAUUUAUAGUCCUUUGGGUAUAUACCCAGUAAUGGGAUGGCUGGGUCAAAUGGUAUUUCUAGUUCUAGAUCCCUGAGGAAUUGCCACACUGUCUUCCACAAUGGUCGAACUAGUUUACAGUCCCACCAACAGUGUAAAAGUGUUCCUAUUUCUCCACAUCCUCUCCAGCACCUGUGGUUUCCUGACUUUUUAAUGAUUGUCAUUCUAACUGGUGUGAGAUGGUAUCUCAUUGUGGUUUUGAUUUGCAUUUCUCUGAUGGCCAGUGAUGAUGAGCAUUUUUUCAUGUGUUUUUUGGCUGCAUAAAUGUCUUCUUUUGAGAAGUGUCUGUUCAUGUCCUUCACCCACUUGUUGAUGGGGUUGUGUGUUUUUUUCUUGUAAAUUUGUUUGAGUUCAUUGUAGAUUCUGGAUAUUAGCCCUUUGUCAGAUGAGUAGGUUGCGAAAAUUUUCUCCCAUUUUGUAGGUUGCCUGUUCACUCUGAUGGUAGUUUCUUUUGCUGUGCAGAAGCUCUUGAGUUUAAUUAGAUCCCAUUUGUCAAUUUUGGCUUCUGUUGCCAUUGCUUUUGGUGUUUUAGACAUGAAGUCCUUGCCCAUGCCUAUGUCCUGAACGGUAAUGCCUAGGUUUUCUUCUAGGGUUUUUAUGGUUUUAGGUCUAACGUUUAAGUCUUUAAUCCAUCUUGAAUUAAUUUUUGUAUAAGGUGUAAGGAAGGGAUCCAGUUUCAGCUUUCUACAUAUGGCUAGCCAGUUUUCCCAGCACCAUUUAUUAAAUAGGGAAUCCUUUCCCCAUUGCUUGUUUUUCUCAGGUUUGUCAAAGAUCAGAUAGUUGUAGAUAUGCGGCGUUAUUUCUGAGGGCUCUGUUCUGUUCCAUUGAUCUAUAUCUCUGUUUUGGUACCAGUACCAUGCUGUUUUGGUUAGUGUAGCCUUGUAGUAUAGUUUGAAGUCAGGUAGUGUGAUGCCUCCAGCUUUGUUCUUUUGGUGUUGGAUUGACUUGGCGAUGCGGGCUCUUUUUUCAUUCCAUAUGAACUUUAAAGUAGCUUUUUCCAAUUCUGUGAAGAAAGUCAUUGGUAGCUUGAUGGGGAUGGCAUUGAAUCUAUAAAUUACCUUGGGCAGUAUGGCCAUUUUCACGAUAUUGAUUCUUCCUACCCAUGAGCAUGGAAUGUUCUUCCAUUUAUUUGUAUCCUCUUUUAUUUCAUUGAGCAGUGGUUUGUAGUUCUCCUUGAAGAGAUCCUUCAUGUCCUUUGUAAGUUGGAUUCCUAGGUAUUUUAUUCCAGGAAUCAAAUUGUGAAUGAAGCAAUUGUGAAUGGGAGUUCACUCAUGAUUUGGCUCUCUGUUUGUCUGUUAUUGGUGUAUAAGAAUGCUUGUGAUUUUUGUACAUUGACUUUGUAUCCUGAGACUUUGCUGAAGUUGCUUAUCAGCUUAAGGAGAUUUUGGGCUGAGACAAUGGGGUUUUCUAGGUAUACAAUCAUGUCAUCUGCAAACAGGGACAAUUUGACUUCCUCUUUUCCUAAUUGAAUACCCUUUAUUUCCUUCUCCUGCCUAAUUGCCCUGGCUAGAACUUCCAACAGUAUGUGGAAUAGGAGUGGUGAGAGACAGCAUCCCUGUCUUGUGCCAGUUUUCAAAGGGAAUGCUUCCAGUUUUUGCCCAUUCAGUAUGAUAUUGGCUGUGGGUCUGUCAUAGAUAGCUCUUAUUAUUUUGAGAUAUGUCCCAUCAAUACUUAAUUUAUUGAGAGCUUUUAGCAUGAAGGGUUGUUGAAUUUUGUCAAAGGACUUUUCUGCAUCUAUUGAGAUAAUCAUGUGGUUUUUGUCUUUGGUUCUGUUUAUAUGCUGGAUUACAUUUAUUGAUUUGCGGAUAUUGAACCAGCCUUGCAUCCCAGGGAUGAAGCCCACUUGAUCAUGUUGGAUAAGCUUUUUGAUGUGCUGCUGGAUUCGGAUUGCCAGUAUUUUAUUGAGGAUUUUUGCAUCAAUGUUCAUCAAGGAUAUUGGUCUAAAAUUCUCUUUUUUUGUUGUGUCUCUGCCCGGCUUUGGUAUCAGGAUGAUGCUGGUCUCAUAAAAUGAGUUAGGGAGGAUUCCCUCUUUUUCUAUUGAUUGGAAUAGUUUCAGGAGGAAUGGUACCAGCUCCUCCUUGUACCUCUGGUAUAAUUCGGCUGUGAAUCCAUCUGGUCCUGGACUCUUUUUGGUUGGUAAGCUAUUGAUUAUUGCCACAAUUUCAGAGCCUGUUAUUGGUCUAUUCAGAGAGUCAACUUCUUCCUGGUUUAGUCUUGGGAGGGUGUAUGUGUCGAGGAAUUUAUCCCUUUCUUCUAGAUUUUCUAGUUUAUUUGCUUAGAGCUGUUUGUAGUAUCCUCUGACGGUAGUUUGUAUUUCUGUGGGAUUGGUGGUGAUAUCCCCUUUAUCAUUUUUUAUUGUGUCUAUUUGAUUCUUCUCUCUUUUCUUCUUUAUUAGUCUUGUUAGCGGUCUAUCAAUUUUCUUGAUCCUUUCAAAAAACCAGCUCCUGGAUUCAUUGAUUUUUUGAAGUGUUUUUUGUGACUCUAUUUCCUUCAGUUCUGCUCUGAUUUUAGUUAUUUCUUGCCUUCUGCUAGCUUUUGAAUGUGUUUGCUCUUGCUUUUCUAGUUCUUUUAAUUGUGAUAUUAGGGUGUCAAUUUUGGAUCUUUCCUACUUUCUCUUGUGGGCAUUUACUGCUAUAAAUUUCCCUCUACACACUGCUUUGAAUGUGUCCCAGAGAUUCUGAUAUGUUGUGUCUUUGUUCUCGUUGGUUUCAAAGAACAUCUUUAUUUCUGCCUUCAUUUCAUUAUUUACCCAGUAGUCGUUCAGGAGCAGGUUGUUCAGUUUCCAUAUAGUUGAGCGGUUUUGAGUGAGAUUCUUAAUCCUGAGCUCUAGUUUGAUUGCACUGUGGUCUGAGAGACAGCUUGUUAUAAUUUCUGCUUGUUUACAUUUGCUGAGGAGAGCUUUACUUCCAACUAUGUGGUCAAUUUUGGAAUAGGUGUGGUGUGGUGCUGAAAAAAAUGUAUAUUCUGUUGAUUUGGGGUGGAGAGUUCUGUAGAUGUCUAUUAGGUCCGCUUGGUGCAGAGAUGAGUUCAAUUCCUGGGUAUCCUUGUUAACUUUCUGUCUUGUUGAUCUAAUGUUGACAGUGGGGUGUUAAAGUCUCCCAUUAUUAUUGUGUGGGAGUCUAAGUCUCUUUGUAGGUUACUCAGGACUUGCUUUCUGAAUCUGGGUGCUCCUGUAUUGGGUGCAUAUAUAUUUAGGAUAGUUAGCUCUUCUUGUUGAAUUGAUCCCUUUACCCUUAUGUAAUGGCCUUCUUUGUCUCUUUUGAUCUUUGUUGGUUUAAAGUCUGUUUUAUCAGAGACUAGGAUUGCAACCCCUGCCUUUUUUUGUUUUCCAUUGGCUUGGUAGAUCUUCCUCCUUCCUUUUAUUUUGAGCCUAUGUGUGUCUCUGCACGUGAGACAGGUUUUUUGAAGUGAGGAGUGUCUUUUAAUUGGAGCAUUUAGCCCAUUUACAUUUAAAGUUAAUAUUGUUAUGUGUGAAUUUGAUCCUGUCAUUAUGAUGUUAGCUGGUUAUUUUGCUCGUUAGUUGAUGCAGUUUCUUCCUAGCCUUGAUGGUCUUUACAAUUUGGCAUGAUUUUGCAGGGGCUGGUACCGGUUGUUCCUUUCCAUGUUUAGUGCUUCCUUCAGGAGCUCUUUUAGGGCAGGCCUGGUGGUGACAAAAUCUCUCAGCAUUUGCUUGUCUGUAAAGUAUUUUAUUUCUCCUUCACUUAUGAAGCUUAGUUUGGAUGGAUAUGAAAUUCUGGGUUGAAAAUUCUUUUCUUUAAGAAUGUUGAAUAUUGGCCCCCACUCUCUUCUGGCUUGUAGAGUUUCUGCUGAGAGAUCCGCUGUUAGUCUGAUGGGCUUCCCUUUGUGGGUAACCCGACCUUUCUCUCUGGCUGCCCUUAACAUUUUUUCCUUCAUUUCAACUUUGGUGAAUCUGACAAUUAUGUGUCUUGGAGUUGCUCUUCUCGAGGAGUAUCUUUGUGGCGUUCUCUGUAUUUCCUGAAUCUGAAUGUUGGCCUACCUUGCUAGAUUGGGGAAGUUCUCCUAGAUAAUAUCCUGCAGAGUGUUUUCCAACUUGGUUCCAUUCUCCCCGUCACUUUCAGGUACACCAAUCAGACGCAGAUUUGGUCUUUUCACAUAGUCCCAUAUUUCUUGGAGGCUUUGUUCGUUUCUUGUUAUUCUCUUUUCUCUAAACUUCCCUUCUCGCUUCAGUUCAUUCAUUUCAUCUUCCAUCACUGAUACCCUUUCUUCCAGUUGAUCGCAUCAGCUCCUAAGGCUUCUGCAUUCUUCACGUAGUUCUCGAGCCUUGGCUUUCAGCUCCAUCAGCUCCUUUAAGCACUUCUCUGUAUUGGUUAUUCUAGUUAUACAUUCGUCUAAAUUUUUUUCAAAGUUUUCAACUUCUUUGCCUUUGGUUUGAAUUUCUUCCUGUAGCUCAGAGUAGUUUCAUUGUCUGAAGCCUUCUUCUCUCAACUCGUCAAAGUCAUUCUCCGUCCAGCUUUGUUCCAUUGCUAGUGAGGAGCUGAGUUCCUUUGGAGGAGGAGAGGCGUUCUGCUUUUUAGAGUUUCCAGUUUUUCUGCUCUGUUUUUUCCCCAUCUUUGUGGUUUUAUCUACUUCUGGUCUUUGAUGAUGGUGAUGUACAGAUGGGUUUUUGGUGUGGAUGUCCUUUCUGUUUGUUAGUUUUCC
This 4992-nucleotide long non-coding RNA is filed under the name Homo sapiens (human). RNAcentral's name for it is "HSALNT0172390". The record is from RNAcentral. Lineage: Eukaryota; Metazoa; Chordata; Mammalia; Primates; Hominidae.